UCAAGCGAACAAGUGCAUGUGGUGGAUGCCUUGGCGAUCACAGGCGAUGAAGGACGCGGUAGCCUGCGAAAAGCCCCGGGGAGCUGGCAAACAAGCUUUGAUCCGGGGAUGUCCGAAUGGGGAAACCCACUCCGUAUGGAGUAUCCAUGACUGAAUACAUAGGUCAUGUGAAGCGAACGCGGUGAACUGAAACAUCUAAGUAACCGCAGGAAAAGAAAUCAACCGAGAUUCCCAAAGUAGUGGCGAGCGAAAUGGGAUGAGCCUUGUACUCUUUAUUCGUAUUGUUAGCCGAACGCUCUGGAAAGUGCGGCCAUAGCAGGUGAUAGCCCUGUAGGCGAAAACAGUAUGAAAGAACUAGGUGUACGACAAGUAGGGCGGGACACGUGAAAUCCUGUCUGAAGAUGGGGGGACCAUCCUCCAAGGCUAAAUACUCGUGAUCGACCGAUAGUGAACCAGUACCGUGAGGGAAAGGCGAAAAGAACCCCGGGAGGGGAGUGAAAUAGAUCCUGAAACCGCAUGCAUACAAACAGUCGGAGCCUCGUAAGGGGUGACGGCGUACCUUUUGUAUAAUGGGUCAGCGACUUACGUUCAGUAGCAAGCUUAACCGUAUAGGGCAGGCGUAGCGAAAGCGAGUCCGAAUAGGGCGUUCAGUUGCUGGGCGUAGACCCGAAACCAGGUGAUCUAUCCAUGGCCAGGAUGAAGGUGCGGUAACACGUACUGGAGGUCCGAACCCACUAACGUUGAAAAGUUAGGGGAUGAGCUGUGGAUAGGGGUGAAAGGCUAAACAAACCUGGAAAUAGCUGGUUCUCUCCGAAAACUAUUUAGGUAGUGCCUCGUGUCUCACCUUCGGGGGUAGAGCACUGUCAUGGUUGGGGGGUCUAUUGCAGAUUACCCCGCCAUAGCAAACUCCGAAUACCGAAGAGUGCAAUCACGGGAGACAGACAUCGGGUGCUAACGUCCGGUGUCAAGAGGGAAACAACCCAGACCGCCAGCUAAGGUCCCCAAAUAUGGCUAAGUGGGAAACGAAGUGGGAAGGCUAAAACAGUCAGGAGGUUGGCUUAGAAGCAGCCACCCUUUAAAGAAAGCGUAAUAGCUCACUGAUCGAGUCGUCCUGCGCGGAAGAUGUAACGGGGCUAAGCCAUAUACCGAAGCUGCGGAUGCGAGCUUGCUCGCAUGGUAGGAGAGCGUUCCGUAAGCCUGCGAAGGUGUCUUGUAAAGGAUGCUGGAGGUAUCGGAAGUGCGAAUGCUGACAUGAGUAGCGAUAAAGGGGGUGAAAGGCCCCCUCGCCGUAAGCCCAAGGUUUCCUACGCAACGUUCAUCGGCGUAGGGUGAGUCGGCCCCUAAGGCGAGGCAGAAAUGCGUAGCUGAUGGGAAGCAGGUCAAUAUUCCUGCACCGUCGUUAGAUGCGAUGGGGGGACGGAUCGCGGAAGGUUGUCCGGGUGUUGGACGUCCCGGUCGCUGCAUUGGAGAAGGCGCUUAGGCAAAUCCGGGCGCAGGAUUCAAGGGUGUGGCGCGAGCGACUUCGGUCGCGAAGCAAUUGGAAGUGGUUCCAAGAAAAGCCUCUAAGCUUCAGUCUAACGAUGACCGUACCGCAAACCGACACAGGUGGGCGAGAUGAGUAUUCUAAGGCGCUUGAGAGAACUCGGGAGAAGGAACUCGGCAAAUUGGUACCGUAACUUCGGGAUAAGGUACGCCCUUGUAGCUUGACCAGCCUGCGCUGGAAGGGUGAAGGGGUUGCAAUAAACUGGUGGCUGCGACUGUUUAAUAAAAACACAGCACUCUGCAAACACGAAAGUGGACGUAUAGGGUGUGACGCCUGCCCGGUGCCGGAAGAUUAAAUGAUGGGGUGCAAGCUCUUGAUUGAAGUCCCGGUAAACGGCGGCCGUAACUAUAACGGUCCUAAGGUAGCGAAAUUCCUUGUCGGGUAAGUUCCGACCUGCACGAAUGGCGUAACGAUGGCCACACUGUCUCCUCCCGAGACUCAGCGAAGUUGAAGUGUUUGUGAUGAUGCAAUCUACCCGCGGCUAGACGGAAAGACCCCAUGAACCUUUACUGUAGCUUUGCAUUGGACUUUGAACCGAUCUGUGUAGGAUAGGUGGGAGGCUAUGAAACCGGAACGCUAGUUUCGGUGGAGCCGUCCUUGAAAUACCACCCUGGUUUGUUUGAGGUUCUAACCUUGGUCCGUGAUCCGGAUCGGGGACAGUGCAUGGUAGGCAGUUUGACUGGGGCGGUCUCCUCCCAAAGGGUAACGGAGGAGUACGAAGGUACGCUAGGUACGGUCGGAAAUCGUGCUGAUAGUGCAAUGGCAUAAGCGUGCUUAACUGCGAGACCGACAAGUCGAGCAGGUGCGAAAGCAGGUCAUAGUGAUCCGGUGGUUCUGUAUGGAAGGGCCAUCGCUCAACGGAUAAAAGGUACUCUGGGGAUAACAGGCUGAUACCGCCCAAGAGUUCAUAUCGACGGCGGUGUUUGGCACCUCGAUGUCGGCUCAUCUCAUCCUGGGGCUGUAGCCGGUCCCAAGGGUAUGGCUGUUCGCCAUUUAAAGAGGUACGUGAGCUGGGUUUAAAACGUCGUGAGACAGUUUGGUCCCUAUCUGCCGUGGGCGUUGGAUAUUUGAAGGGGGCUGCUCCUAGUACGAGAGGACCGGAGUGGACGAACCUCUGGUGUACCGGUUGUGACGCCAGUCGCAUCGCCGGGUAGCUAUGUUCGGAAGAGAUAACCGCUGAAAGCAUCUAAGCGGGAAACUCGCCUUAAGAUGAGAUAUCCCUGGAGGCUUGACCUCCUUGAAGGGUCGUUCGAGACCAGGACGUUGAUAGGUCGGGUGUGUAAGCGCAGUAAUGCGUUCAGCUAACCGAUACUAAUUGCCCGUAAGGCUUGAUCCU
RNAcentral lists this ribosomal RNA (2879 nucleotides) under Burkholderia multivorans. RNAcentral's name for it is "bacterial LSU rRNA". It matches the Rfam family "Bacterial large subunit ribosomal RNA". Lineage: Bacteria; Pseudomonadati; Pseudomonadota; Betaproteobacteria; Burkholderiales; Burkholderiaceae. The record is from RNAcentral. RNAcentral also lists the same sequence under 1 other name.